RNAcentral lists this long non-coding RNA (232 nucleotides) under Carica papaya (papaya). RNAcentral describes it as "long non-coding RNA (CPAP_LNC008812)". The record is from RNAcentral. Lineage: Eukaryota; Viridiplantae; Streptophyta; Magnoliopsida; Brassicales; Caricaceae.
CGGCGACAGCGCCAUUGCUUGCGGCGGCGAUCCGCUCGGAUAUGCCAUUUUCGGCCGAAUUCGGCCAAACUUGCAUUGGUCCCUACGAUAAAACAACCCUAGGGCCCUCAGUGGGCCAAAAAAUCACGAAAAACUGAGACUUACCGGGGGCGGUCCUCUCGGGUGCGACGGCUCCUCCGGCGUGAGUCGCGUUUUGAUGUUUGGCUCCGAUCAACCUGUAGAGAAAAGAACG